AGCACAGCAUGUGCAGAUUGGACUGGGUGUGCAUUUUUUUUGACCUUCCCAGUUGAGUCCUCCUGGGGCACAUGGCACAUCUCUCCACCUCAUCUCCCUUCUCCCCAGAGUGGGAAAGAUGAAAGGGACAGUGAAGACAGACUUGAAGCCUUUGUCAGCUUGGGGCCUUGUCUACUGCUUGAUGGGGGCCAGCCUACUUGUUACUUGGAAUCUGUCUCCAAAGUGCUGCGGGACAACGUGUCUCAUAAAGACAAGGUUCAGCUCUGGAGGCAAAAGCUGAAAUUGAAUAGCUGCCUUACAGUACACACACGGAGUCCAGGAGUGCCAUGGCUAGCAACUGCAACAGGGCACCAGCCUAGUGAACUGAUUUCCAAAAAGCCCAGACUUUAUGGAAAUCCUCGCCGACUCCCCGAGAAGCCUGCUAAUCAAGGGAGGGUGAUUUCUGAGAGCUCCCCAUCUGCCUUCCUCCCUCUGUUUGGUGAGUGCUGUUCUGUCUGGGUUUUUGCUGUGCUGGCUGCUUGGAGCUCCCUGAGCUCUAUGGCUCAGUUGGACCCCCCAAGGAAUGGUGGUUAGCUGCUAUUUCAACAGAAACCACUAGUUUGUGGAGGAAGGGAGCAGGCCUCCCUCCCGGGAAGGCUGAUUUUCUCUCCUUUCUGUUCCAUCUGUGCCUAGUGCCGAACCCUCUAGAGGUGAUGAUGUAGUUCAUGGUGCGCAGCGUGGGCUGGGAGGGAAGGAGAAAUCCACCAGCCUCGUCUCACGCUUAUUCCAACCCAAGCCUCCAAGAAUUAAAACCAGUUGGCAACAUCCUGGAAAGGAAGAUUUGUCUCUUAAAUCUACAGAAGGGAAAAGUUUUUUGUUUCAUGUCUCUGAGGAGUUUUUGUGUGUGUGGUUUUUUUUUAUGGUGGUUUUGUUCACAAUGGAAAAAAAACCCAAACCAAAAACUUCCCCACGAUGGUCCUGGUGUUUAUACCCCAUGCAGACUCUGAAAGCACCAAGGAGGAAAGGCACACAAGCUCGUUUCGCGAGGCAGCCUGCUAAUUUCAUUUGCCACCACGGUGUUCCCAUCUGCUAAGGGACCGGCCCAGACAAUUUUCCAUGGAUAAUUCACAGUCCUUUGUAAUUUCAGCUCAAGCAGAAUCAACAGCUUGACCGAAAUGCUAUGGCGAGGAUUCAAAGGGUGGCUACUCCCACGUUCUGUCCUUGCUUCACACCAGCGUUGGCCUGUUCCCAUGCACACCUCUGGUUCCCACUCUCGGGGUCUCUCCUUCUUUCUCCCUACCUUGUUUCAC
RNAcentral lists this long non-coding RNA (1289 nucleotides) under Vulpes vulpes (red fox). RNAcentral's name for it is "lncRNA (ENSVVUG00000000546.1)". The record is from RNAcentral. Lineage: Eukaryota; Metazoa; Chordata; Mammalia; Carnivora; Canidae.